This is a long non-coding RNA of Cygnus olor (mute swan), 651 nucleotides long. RefSeq lists it as uncharacterized. The record is from RefSeq and is a predicted model, not a curated record. Lineage: Eukaryota; Metazoa; Chordata; Aves; Anseriformes; Anatidae. The transcript has 3 exons.
AUCCAGGUCAUUGAUGACUACGCUGAACAGGACUGGACCCAGUACGGACUCAGCCGUCACCAUCACCACUGGCACCAUGGCACUGGUUUGGACACGAUGUCUUGAUUCCCAGUCCUGGUGCUUCAGAAACAAGCCCAGAGUGCCAGCAGACAGACAUCCCCCUGCAGCGCAAUGCGAGCGCUGUGAAGCCCCUGGGAGAAGCAGUGUGCUACCGGGAGCGUCCUGCCCUAUUUUCUGCACCAGAGCAGCCCCGCGCUGGUGUGCAGCGAUGCGUGUGGGCCAGGAGCAAUUGCACAUACAGCCAGCUACUGGUCCUAGGGAAACCUCACUGAAUCACGCACUGAUCCACACACAGAUUCAAUCUUACGGUUAUCACUAGCUGGACUUCUGAGGAAUUAAUGCGCUUGAUUCUUCUUGCACUGUGCCCAAGGUUCUCUCUGGAGUCAAUGGAAAAAUGUCACCCCUGCAGAGGUGAUAAAGUGAGAAGGGGGAUAUCCCACCUUUCCUCUGUGUGCAACAGUGCACGGGUUGGGACAUCGACACGCUUAAUAAACAGACUUAAAGUAUAUCAGCAUGCAGGUGCGAUAGCUCUGUAGAGGUUUUUCACAUUAGACAUACCAGAUCUCUCUGCAUCCUUCAUUGCCCUCAUAA